This 253-nucleotide ribosomal RNA is filed under the name uncultured bacterium. RNAcentral describes it as "partial 16S ribosomal RNA". It matches the Rfam family "Bacterial small subunit ribosomal RNA", at positions 524 to 776 of the family's 1533-position model. The record is from RNAcentral.
UACGUAGGGGGCGAGCGUUGUCCGGAUUUAUUGGGCGUAAAGAGCGUGUAGGCGGCCAGGUAGGUCCGUUGUGAAAACUCGAGGCUCAACCUCGAGACGUCGAUGGAAACCAUCUGGCUAGAGUCCGGAAGAGGAGAGUGGAAUUCCUGGUGUAGCGGUGAAAUGCGCAGAUAUCAGGAAGAACACCUAUGGCGAAGGCAGCUCUCUGGGACGGUACUGACGCUGAGACGCGAAAGCCAGGGGAGCAAACGGG